This is a long non-coding RNA of Acinonyx jubatus (cheetah), 5088 nucleotides long. RefSeq lists it as uncharacterized. The record is from RefSeq and is a predicted model, not a curated record. The transcript is spliced from 3 exons. NCBI's taxonomy places the organism in Eukaryota, Metazoa, Chordata, Mammalia, Carnivora, Felidae.
GAAAGGGACCUACACUUCUUGAUAAGAGUCCUGCCACUCUUCACAAAUGGGAAGUCAAUACUUCUAAUGCAAGAAUGUGGAGAAAUGGUUAAAAUUUCUGAUUCAUGGACAUUCCGUGCAAUAAAGCCAUAAAAUAUUUGGAGAAAGUCCCAUUUUCUUCUUUCUACCGUGAAAGACCAACUCAAGAUGAUUGCCGAGUGGCAAGAGGAGUCUUGUGAGGUAAUUCACCAUGUCCUCAAUCCUAGAAGAGCAGAAUUCCAAGUGAGGUCCCCUGGAUACUAAAAUCCGUUGACUUGUCUCUCCUUUUAAGAACUCCCACUGCUAGGAGCUAACCUGAUUUGAUAGAAUUUAUCCUCCAGGAAUAUAGAAUAGCAGGUGAAAGCACAGUGCCCUAGCAUUCAAGAAGCUGAGCUGCAGUCCUUUUGUCAACAGUAAUGUUACAACUUUGGAUAACUUCAGCUCUCUGGGCCUAUUUCCCAAAUAAAGGAGUUGGUCCAAGAUUUGUGAUUUUCAAACCUUGCUCUGUACAAAUCUGGGUGCUAUAGGUGGUCCCUCAGGUACUGCUUGGAGGAACAGGACUUAGGUGCCUGGUGGGCAGGAUACAAGUUCUGCUACGCCCUUUCAGCCAGGAUAUCAGCCAUGUUGACCUAUAUGUGUGCUGGACUUCUGGGAAGGUUUUGAUUUGAAAAGCUUCCACUACUUAAAACUGUUUGAAAACCAAUAAUCAAAACAGUGGUUUCUGUAACCUACACAUGGAGGUUUAACAUUUUACUCUCUCACUUGGAUUUUAACAGACCUUCCCAAAACUUAAUCAUUUAAAAAUUUAAAAUUUAAAAUCAUUUAAAAAAAUAAUGAUUGAUAGAAUUUCAGUUGGAAAGGGAAAUAUCAUUAUCAUAAAAACAACCUGGCAGCAUAUUCUUCCUUAAUUUUUCACUCCAAACCAUGCCCACAUACUUCUGGGCCUCUGACCUACUCUUGCUGCUUCUAGGAAAGAAAAAUUAUAGUAGAAACAUCAUAAAUCUAUUUAUCCAGUUUCCUCUGGGUAAAGGAUAAUAAAUUUUUACUUAUUUGCCCAGGAACAAGGGUUCACAGUUCAGUGCCCAGUCCACAUUCAGAUGGUCAAAAAUUUUAUCCAUCAUGCGCCAGGAACUAUUCUAGUCUGUAGUCAUAAAGUGGUCACAAAGGCAAAUGAAUUCUCUGCCAUGAAAGAAUUUACGUUAUAAGAAAGAAUAAUGUAGAUAUAAAAUAAUUCCGACCUGCUCAAGUAGUAUAAACAAAGUAUAUAAUGUUAUGUAAUGCACAAUGAUGGCAUGAUGGUGAUGGAGGUGACAAGUAGAGUUAGAGAAGACCUCUCGGGAAAGCACUUCAAGUAAGAUCAAAAUACUGGAAAUGAGGCAUCCAUGAGAGAAAGUAGGGACAGAAAAAAUGACAAUUGCAAAACCCAUGAGACAUAAUGGAGCUGGGUUUAUUUAAGGAACAGGGAUCAUUAUGCCUGGAGUAUUGGCAAUGCAGGAAAUAUGGAGGGAGAAGUUACAGAGGAAAGCAGGAGCCCGAUCAUGUAUGGCCUCUGUAGCCUUUGGCAAGGAGUUUGAAUUUUAUUCUGAUUACAAUUGGAAGGCAGUAGAGGGAUGGAAAAAUAGAGAGAAGGAGCAAUAGAGCAAGAAAAUAGAGGGUAAGGGAGGGAAGGACUGGUUACCUUAACUCGGGCAUCACCAUAGACUGUUCCAGUUGCUAAGGUCAGAAUGAACAAGAGUUGUGAAACCAUGGAAACCUGGAACAGCACGUGUUGUUUUCUAUUAAUAAAGUGAUUUUCCACAAUCAUUCUUCAAGUGAAGUGAGAAUGGAUAAGAGGUAUUGGAGGUCAUGUUAAAGGGCAGAUUUUUAAAGAGAACACACAGAGGACUAUAAUUUUAGAACAGAGACUAAAAAUUAGAAUGAGACCUAGAGAUUUUUUUUUACGAAAAGAAAGAGAAAUAUGUUUGUAACAUAUAAAUCCUAAGAGAAAUGUAAGCUCAGAUAGGACAAUACAUUCAGAACAGCUCUCAGAAGUUUGCACUUUUGGUUCUUCCAAAAACUGAAUCAUCAUAAAUAUAGAAGUAACUGUUGCUAUGCCUCCUUGACAUUAGAUGUGGUCAUUUCCUGUCUGAGAUGAUUGCCGGGUAUGUACCCAGAAAUGCAAGUUGGUCUUGCAACGGGAUGAAAAGGUAAAAAUGACUGGCACCCAGCCUUUUAGAUAGAAUGAAUUGUUACACAUGGAAAACUACUCCUGAAAGAAACAAAGAGGUGAAUAUUUCCAAGGGAAACCAUUAUCAAGGGGCAAGGGUGUUAAAGAAUAUACUGAGAAGAAACUGAGAAGGAAAGAUUUGCUCUUUUGGAACAUGAACAAUAAUAAUGCUCCAAGUAUCUCCUGGAAAGGGUUUGGCACACUUAGAAAAAUAAGGAAGAAUAAGAUUUGGUCUCUGCCAGAAAGUAUAAGUAAUCCAACUAAAGAGCUGUCAUGGAAACUACUAGCAUGAGUUGGAAACUACAAUUGAAAGAGUCCUGGAUAGUGUGUUCCUGUAAGAUCAACUUGCCUCUGGAGAGUAAUAAUAAAAGACUGCAGAUGCAGUUGUUCAGGUCAUUACAAACUCUAGGAAAUUAACAGAAUUAAACAGGCCGAGGAUCUAUGAUUGAUACCAAAGAGAAUUUUCUGGAUACCCUGAUGGAAAACAGUUGAAAUAAUAGUAUUUCUAUCUUUUGCUAUGAAUCUUCUUAAGAUAAAGUGGACACACGGAGUUUGUAUGGAGACUGAAUGAUUUUAUUUCACAUAUUUCUCCUCAGUGAAAGAAACAGAUUAAAGGAACUACCAAAAACCCUAAGAAGUUUGUACUCUUAAUAUCCCAUCUUACUGAUCACUAAAUUCUGCCUAGAGAGGAGUAGAAAGUUAAGAACCUGUCCAAGAUUCUCAACCCAGUCUAGAAGAAACUUUUAUCAGAUAUUAUACAAACAGGAUCUAGUGAUAAAAGAUAAACAAGUGUGACUCAAAAUAUAAAGAGAUAACAAGAUACUAACAGAAAGUAGGAAGCUGACAAUAAGAAAAACUGUCGAACUUACUCAAAAUGGUGGACUUGGCACAUGCUGUAGCCUUCCCUCUAAAAUAAGUCCACAGAAAUGUCUGGAAGGAGAUUUAUAAAACUUCCUUACCAUGCCAGAAAACAAGAAGAAUUUCCUUCAACAGAGUGUGAGAAAAUCCAAAGACUGAAAUCAAAAGAGAGGAGAUUAAACUAGAAAACUACAGUCCAAAAUGAAUUCAGGACUGGAUUGCCACAAAAGUUUCAUAUACUUGGCUCGGGAGAGAGCCCUGAGAAGAUUGUAGUCUAUUAAGUGUGCAAUAGCAUUAUAUCUAAAAAAAUAAUGUUUAAAUCUUAGCUUAAAAAUAAUUUAUUGCUGGGGCACCUGGGUGGCUCAGUCGGUUAAGCACCCAACUUUGACUCAGGUCAUGAUCUCACAGUUUGUGAGUUUAAGCCCCAUAUCAGGCUCUCUGCUGUCAGUACUGAGCCUGCUUCAGAUCCUCUGUCCCCCUCUCUCUCUGCCCCUCAUCUGCUCUCUCUGUGUCAAAAAUAAACAUUUAAAAAAUAAUCUAUUGGUAAUUUUUCAGUGUAUCAUAAUCAUUGCUCAUAGAUCACCAUAACAAAUAUAAGUUUGAAAUAGUGCAAGAAUUAGCAAAAUGUGACUGACACAAUGUGAGCAAAUGCUGUUGAAAAAAAUGGCAUCAAUAGAUCGUUCAAUGCAGGGUUGCCACAAACUUUCAAUGUUGUUGUAAAACAAAACAACAAAAAUUCAGUAUCUGCAAAGCACGAUUAAGUGAAACAGAAUAAAAGAAGGUAUGUCUAUACAGGGAAGCUACUAGUAGAUCUCACAUUCAAAGAUGAAUACGUAACCAAAAUUACCAGUCAUUUGAAAAAGGUGAAUACUUGAAAGAAAAGACAUCAAGCACAACACAGAGAAGAGAUUUGCACAUUCAGGAAACAGUAUAAUUCAUUUCUGGAAUGACCUGAGAAGAUGUUGCAGCAUGCUUAAAGUUAGCCAGAUGUUUGCUAAACUAAACAUAAGAUAGAUGAAAUAAAAAAAAAACUUGAGGGACACAGUGAAAAUCAAAAUGAAAACCAUACACUGGUAAGGUGAAAUAUUAACUCAGUAAUUCCUCCAGAAUAUAGAAUACACGGAAAAUGAGAUCAAAAUUGUGAAAGGAAAGUUAGUAGAUAUUAGUUCUCAGAUGUAAAGGGUCAUGAGCCAUUAAAACUACCAAGAAAAGAUAAGAUAAAAGAUUUGCAUAAAUUUCAUAAAACCAAGGAUGAAGAGAAAAUUUUAAAAAGUUCCAGAAGGAUAUUAACAUCGAUAUCUGAUAUUUCAUCAGUCACAUUAGAUGCAAGAAGAAAAUAGAACAGCAUCUUCAAAGAUACAAGACAAAUAUUUUUCAUCCUCUCAUCCUAUACCAGAUAGACUUAACUAUUUGUGGAUGCAAAGCAAAAACCUAUUCAGUGUUGUGUUGGCCCUUUCAGAAAGCACUAAAAAAUUUACAAGAAGAGAAAUCAAUUUAGUAGAUAGGAGUAAAUUUUUAGAAGUAAUAUCGGUUAGAGAAGCCAGUUACAAAACAAUAUUGCUAUAAUUGAGAAUUAUUAUAUGUAAGACUUAAGCAUAAAUAUUAGUACAGGUGGUAAUGACAGUAGUGGACAAUAAUUGCUGAGCUUAAACUAAGUACAAAAAAACUGUUCUAAAUACCGUGUAAGUAUUCAUUUAAUCUUCCUAACAAUCCUGUCAGCUAUAUACCUAUAAACCGAUAAUCCUGAGGCACAGAAAAGUUGAAUAACUUGCCAUUUGUCACAGAGCUAGUAGGUGGUAGAGCCAGGAUGUGAACCUAAAAAUAACAGAGAUUCCAGAUGAUAUUAAAUGUAUACUGAAUUAUGUCCCCCCACCAAUUCAUGUUGAAUUCAUGAAUUCAUGUUGAAGUCCCAAGCCCCAGGACUUCAGAAUAUAACCGUAUUUGGAAAUAAUGUCUUUAAAGAGGUUAUUAAGUUACAGUGAGGCACUUUGGGUAGGACCCUAAUC